GGGCUGUGCUCAGAGUUGCCUGCCUCGGCAAAUCGUGCUGUUAAGACACUGAUGCCCUUUGCAACCACGUACCUAUGUGAAAGUGGAUUCUCGGCCCUCACUAGCAUGAAAACUAAAUACAGGCACAGACUGUGUGUGGAAAAUUAUAUGACUGCGACUCUCUCCAAUAAAACCCAACAUUACAGAGUUAUGUGCAUCCUUUCAAACACACCCUUCUCAUUAACCUGUGGUGAGUUAUUCACAAUUUUUGAUGAACAAAUAAGGUUUUAUAUGUAAGAUGGCUAAAUAAAAAGCAAAAUUAUUUAUUAUUAUUAUAGUAUUAUUUGUGCCCUGGUCCUAUAAGAGCUCUUAGUCACUUCCCACGAGCCAGGUUGUGACAAAAACUCAAACUAAUUCUUAUGUUUAAUAAAUGUAUUGUAUAGUGUGUGUGUGGCAGGCUUACAAUGAUGGCAAAAAACAUUUGAGAGUGCUAGAGGGGGUACGCAGCUGGAGGUUGAAUGUUUGAAUGGCUACGGGACUAUAAAACGUUUGGGAACCACUGAUCUACAUGAAUGCAGCUGUCACUUCAUUAAAGCCGUUAGAUGCAGUUCACCAUAGUGCGCUUUGUUCUAUCAGGGGUGAGAGGUUUUGCACUCAUCACUGCUUGCUCUAUCAGAAAGUAGGAUGGUCCUCUUUGACCUCAUGUAUGUCGAAACACUGCAUUUUAUUCAUUUUUAAAGCCCUUUUGCAAAAACUCCCACAUUACCUGACAUCUUUACUUACCCAUAUAUGUACGAGUUACCAUACCCAUCACAGGGAUAGAUAACUGGAAAUUCCCUGUUGCUACAGAAUUAGGAAAAACAGCUUUUAGUUUCUUCAGAGUUCCCUACAAAUGGAUGCAUGGGUGCCUUUCGGGCAGUUCAGAGUGCUGAUUGAGGACCUUUUUGCUGAGGAAUGUGAUUGUUUUUCAUGUGUGUUUUCUUUUCUUUUUUGUAAUCUCUGUAUUUUUAUUUUCUGGUGUAUUUUCUAUGUGUAAUUUGUUGUUUAAUUAUAAGAUGCAGGGCUCCCUUGCAGAAGACACCUUGGUCUCAAUGGGAAAAUUAAACAGCUGAAGAAAGUUAAACUGUAUUUUUCUCCCAUAUGACAUCACAAAGGUAGGUUACAUUAUAUGUACCUCAUAAUAAUGUCUGACUAGUUAAAAUCUCAUGUAAGGAGAUCAAAAGUUGCCGAACUAAGCUUGCCAUCUUUAUAUUUGGAUAGAACUCUGGCGUGGUAUAGCCUGCAUUUGACUACUGAUAUAUUGAGAGGGUGGUGGUACAUGGCUGCUCCAUGAAGGCCAAGUGAUGUCCAAUGCAGACAUUCAAGGGCAGAGACCAGUGGAGGCUUGACUUCAGUGCAGGACAGAAUUUGACUAGGAUGGUCCUCCCCUUCCUCCUCUGAGGAGCCUCCACUGACAGCGAUGCAGUGCCUUAGAACACUGCGCCACUCGGGAGGCCGUACUAUUGUUUUUUCAUUGAGAUUCAAAGACAUACAGUUUAUUAUAUUAUAUUUUUAGUUCAAAACAUUUAGCAUAUUUCAUAUAUUGAUACAGAUAUUCUCCCCAUUAUAUCAAGUCUCUAAGCAUUAUCACUGCUAAUUGUGGUAUUGGGUUCCUCAUACAGAACAAUGGGAUGAAAACAUUAGACACAAUAUAUUAAGGUAUGCAGUGGCCUGCGGACAGAAUACGUGUGUGCUGGCACUGUGUGAGGAUGGAAACCAGAUGUCUGUCUGACCUGAAUACCUUCACAGCACCACUAUAUGGUGCCAUUUUUUGUCAGCUUUUCCUCCUCUCCUUGGUGAUGCUGAUAUCAUCCACUGCGAAGACAAAUGUUUGCUCAGCCUGUUGCAAACAAAAUGUGUGUGAUGUCCAGAGCCUUAUCAUAGGAUGCUGCUUUGUGUUUCGUUUUACAUCCUUUUGCAGUACCCACAUGUGUCUUUCUUCAUUCCUUUCAAAGAAAAUGACAUUCUCAACAUUUACCAGUAAACAGCCAGAAUUUUGGUAUCUUUCAAAGAUUUUAUGUAAUCGAUCAUAAGACUAGCAGCCCUUUAGGUGUCUAAUUAUCUUAGGCCCUCUCUGGUCUUAUCACAUGUAAAAUAUAUGAAACAAUUCAAUAAGAUUAUUAAAAAAUAAAA
RNAcentral lists this long non-coding RNA (2151 nucleotides) under Salmo salar (Atlantic salmon). Its description in RNAcentral is "lncRNA (ENSSSAG00000092510.1)". Lineage: Eukaryota; Metazoa; Chordata; Actinopteri; Salmoniformes; Salmonidae. The record is from RNAcentral.